Motacilla alba alba is the source of this 1974-nucleotide long non-coding RNA. RefSeq lists it as uncharacterized. The record is from RefSeq and is a predicted model, not a curated record. Lineage: Eukaryota; Metazoa; Chordata; Aves; Passeriformes; Motacillidae. The transcript is spliced from 3 exons.
CAGCAGAGCCUCCAUUUAGCAAGCCUCGCACACCCGCAGCCCCCGAGCUGUCUCCUAGCAGGCGGCAGCAGCGCAGGUUUCCCCAGCAGCAGGCGGGGAGCGGGAGGGGGGGACUGCGGACCUCCGGGAAAGGAGGGAAUUCCCUCUCGCCAGCCUGUCUGUGGAGCGGCGCUGCUCCUGCCCUUUGUCCGGCCCUUUCGACCCGCAUCGAUGCCUGCACCCUCACCAGCUGCAGCGUGAGGCUGUGCCCCUUCCCUCUGCUUUCCCAGCCACUCCUGGACCAGUGUUGAGCUUCCUCUGCCCAGACCCUUUCCGCCAUGCCCUCGGCCCCGGAUCAGCCUGGGUGCGCACACCUGACUGCCCCGCUCCCCUUCUCGGAACCCCGCCAUUCCUGUCCCACUCUCGGGCUCCUGGCGCUCGUCCCUUUCCCCAGAUAAUUGCAACACCUCCCCCCGCCUCCCCGAGUGGCGGGCAGGCAGUGUUGCAAACAGGAAAUCAGGUCAUUCUACACCACACAGUGCAAGCACAGAGACAGAAAGGGAGGAGGACGGUGGGUAGCAAGGAGCAGUCACUCCAGAGGAGCAGCCCUUCCUGACUGCAGCACGCUGCAGAUGUAUGCUUUGUCAGAGGCUGGAAAAGUUCAUCGCCAUGGAAAGGAAAUCUAUUAAACGUGCCUCCUGGAGGUAUGGGAGGCCCUGCGACAAGCCUCCCGGGACACGGGGAAUCUUUGGCCAGAGAACCGCUUUGGAGAAAAGAGACAUAGAUGCUCGGGUGUGCCACCACCAGCCUUUGCAGAAGCGGUGCGCCAGGCUUCCCCGCGGGGUGUUUCUGCAGCGGCGGAGGUGUCCCGCCCGUCGUCGUAACACAAAAGUGCUGUCUCUCUGGCAUGACGUGCCAGCCCAAAUGUUGCUGCCGGAAUCAAGCACUGGAAGAGCCUGACAAGAUAUAACCCCACCAAGGCAGAGGCUUGGCACGGGCCUCUUUGGUAAUUCCAAGUUUCAGUUGUGAUAGUUUGCUUGGCUACUUACUUCUUGUCAGAUGAACCCAACGGUCUGAACAAAUUUAGGCAGAUUUCAAGUUGAAUGGUUGUUGCAGUGAAAAUUUCAUGGAGACUUUUGUUUAACAUUUCAGCAAAGUUUUAUCAACUUUGGCAAGACUUCCAAGCUUUUCAACCUUCACACACCUUUUAACCAUUUGAAAAGUUGUCUACCUUGCAUUUGAAAUGCACAAAGUUACUGCCAGUUGUUGUCAGGAAAAAAAAAAAGCAGCUUGAUAUGGGUUUAUUUUUGUGGUGAAGAAAACAAGAUGACUUAUUAUGAACCUGUUUUGGUGUCUCUGAACAGUGUCCCUGCUCAUACAUGCACAUUUUUCCUCCCAGGCAAGACCAUCUGGAGGAUUCAUGGAAUACUAGGUGCAUCAUGAAAAUUCUGCAUUUUCAGAUGGACAUUUAUUCUGAAUGGUGUAUAGAUACACGUGGGGUUGGUUCCCCUAUUGGGGCACCUCUGCUUUACUUUCCUUGGCAGGGAAUUUAAACAGAGUUGGAUGCAUUGCAAGUGAGCACUGGUCAGGAAAUGAAAAAGUAACAUGGAAGUGCCACCUUAAAACAACGUCCUCUCCCUGUGUAGCAGUGAGUUAUGGACACAGAUUCAGGUGUAUUUCGGUGGUAUCUCAACUUUUUGCCUUGUUUUGCAUCUCAUAUAAUUGAAAAGCAAUCUUUGGAUUUGUUCUAGGAAGAAAUAAAUUUCUGUCAGAUCUAAGUGUCAUUAGUGACUCAUUUGUCAUUUGGAAAUGUUUGUAGGAUUCUGUCCAGGUUCUGAGUUGCUGGCUGUUACUGGUGUGUUGGAAAGCAAUGCCUCCUCAGAUGUUCCUGUAUACCUUUAUCUAUCUGCCUACAAUCAUUUUAUGAGCUCAUGAGAAUGAACACAAGACAUCUUUGACAUCCCUCUUUCUCAUUUCCUCUCCUAUUUUUCACAU